GCGGACGUGGUGGAAUUGGUAGACACGCUAGACUUAGGAUCUAGUGAGAUUAUCUUGUGAGAGUUCGAGUCUCUCCGUCCGCA
RNAcentral lists this transfer RNA (83 nucleotides) under Liagora harveyana. Its description in RNAcentral is "tRNA-Leu". It matches the Rfam family "tRNA". Rfam says of the family: Transfer RNA (tRNA) molecules are approximately 80 nucleotides in length. Their secondary structure includes four short double-helical elements and three loops (D, anti-codon, and T loops). The record is from RNAcentral. RNAcentral also lists the same sequence under 1 other name. Lineage: Eukaryota; Rhodophyta; Florideophyceae; Nemaliales; Liagoraceae.